Molecule: ribosomal RNA, 445 nt
Filed under: uncultured bacterium
Lineage: Bacteria
Description: bacterial SSU rRNA
Rfam family: Bacterial small subunit ribosomal RNA
Source: RNAcentral
GAUGAACGCUGGCGGCGUGCUUAACACAUGCAAGUCGAACGAAGCACUUUAUUUGAUUUCCUUCGGGACUGAUUAUUUUGUGACUGAGUGGCGGACGGGUGAGUAACGCGUGGGUAACCUGCCUUGUACAGGGGGAUAACAGUUGGAAACGGCUGCUAAUACCGCAUAAGCGCACGGCAUCGCAUGAUGCAGUGUGAAAAACUCCGGUGGUAUAAGAUGGACCCGCGUUGGAUUAGCUAGUUGGUGAGGUAACGGCCCACCAAGGCGACGAUCCAUAGCCGACCUGAGAGGGUGACCGGCCACAUUGGGACUGAGACACGGCCCAAACUCCUACGGGAGGCAGCAGUGGGGAAUAUUGCACAAUGGGCGAAAGCCUGAUGCAGCGACGCCGCGUGAGCGAAGAAGUAUUUCGGUAUGUAAAGCUCUAUCAGCAGGGAAGAUAAUG